GACGUAGGGCGCAAGCGUUGUCCGGAUUUAUUGGGCGUAAAGAGCUCGUAGGCGGUCUGCCACGUCCGCUGUGAAAACCUAGGGCUUAACCCUGGGCUUGCAGUAGAUACGGGCAGACUAGAGGUAGGUAGGGGAGAAUGGAAUUCCCGGUGUAGCGGUGAAAUGCGCAGAUAUCGGGAGGAACACCGGUGGCGAAGGCGGUUCUCUGGGCCGAUAUUGACGCUGAGGAGCGAAAGCGUGGGGAGCGAACAGG
RNAcentral lists this ribosomal RNA (253 nucleotides) under uncultured bacterium. RNAcentral's name for it is "partial 16S ribosomal RNA". It matches the Rfam family "Bacterial small subunit ribosomal RNA", at positions 524 to 776 of the family's 1533-position model. The record is from RNAcentral.